UACGGGGGGGGCAAGCGUUGUUCGGAAUUACUGGGCGUAAAGGGCUCGUAGGCGGCCAACUAAGUCGGAUGUGAAAUCCCCAGGCUCAACCUGGGAACUGCAUCCGAUACUGGAUGGCUUGAAUUCGGGAGAGGGAUGCAGAAUUCCAGGUGUAGCGGUGAAAUGCGUAGGUAUCUGGAGGAAUACCGGUGGCGAAGGCGGCAUCCUGAACCGACAUUGACGCUGAUGAGCGAAAGCUAGGGGAGCAAACGGG
Molecule: ribosomal RNA, 253 nt
Filed under: uncultured bacterium
Lineage: Bacteria
Description: partial 16S ribosomal RNA
Rfam family: Bacterial small subunit ribosomal RNA
Source: RNAcentral